AGAGUUUGAUCAUGGCUCAGGACGAACGCUGGCGGCGUGCUUAAGACAUGCAAGUCGCACGGACCCGCAAGGGUCAGUGGCGGACGGGUGAGUAACGCGUGGAUAACCUGCCCGAUUCCCCGGGAUAACAGGCCGAAAGGCCUGCUAAUACCGGGUAAGCUCACGGUGCCGCAUGGCACUGGGAGAAAAGCUCCUGCAAGGGAGUGGGAUUGGAGGGGUCCGCGGUCCAUUAGCUAGUUGGGGGGGUAACGGCCCACCAAGGCGACGAUGGAUAGCCGGCCUGAGAGGGCGACCGGCCACACUGGGACUGAGACACGGCCCAGACUCCUACGGGAGGCAGCAGUCGGGAAUUUUGGGCAAUGGCCGCAAGGGCUGACCCAGCAACGCCGCGUGGGUGAAGAAGGCCUUCGGGUCGUAAAGCCCUUUCGGACGGGACGAACGUCAUGCGGGGAAACUCGUGUGGCUUGACGGUACCGUAAGAAGAAGCACCGGCUAACCCCGUGCCAGCAGCCGCGGUAAUACGGGGGGUGCAAGCGUUGUUCGGAAUUACUGGGCGUAAAGCGCGUGUAGGCGGCCCUGCAAGUCAGAUGUGAAAGCCCUCGGCUUAACCGGGGAAGUGCAUCUGAAACUGCUUGGCUUGAGUACUGGAGAGGAAGGCGGAAUUCCCAGUGUAGAGGUGAAAUUCGUAGAUAUUGGGAGGAACACCGGUGGCGAAAGCGGCCUUCUGGGCAGAUACUGACGCUGAGACGCGAAAGCGUGGGGAGCAAACAGGAUUAGAUACCCUGGUAGUCCACGCUGUAAACGAUGGGCACUAGGUGUGGGGGGUAUCCACUCCUCCCGUGCCGCAGCUAACGCAUUAAGUGCCCCGCCUGGGGAGUACGGCCGCAAGGUUAAAACUCAAAUGAAUUGACGG
Molecule: ribosomal RNA, 913 nt
Filed under: uncultured bacterium
Lineage: Bacteria
Description: bacterial SSU rRNA
Rfam family: Bacterial small subunit ribosomal RNA
Source: RNAcentral